RNAcentral lists this non-coding RNA (21 nucleotides) under Arabidopsis thaliana (thale cress). The record is from RNAcentral. Lineage: Eukaryota; Viridiplantae; Streptophyta; Magnoliopsida; Brassicales; Brassicaceae.
CAGAUAUGAAAGACCGUGAUC